Long non-coding RNA from Papaver somniferum (opium poppy), 400 nucleotides. RefSeq lists it as uncharacterized. The record is from RefSeq and is a predicted model, not a curated record. Lineage: Eukaryota; Viridiplantae; Streptophyta; Magnoliopsida; Ranunculales; Papaveraceae. The transcript is spliced from 3 exons.
ACUAGAGAGUAGACAAACAACAUUGUUUCGAUCAAACCCUAAUAAUUUCUUCAAAUCCACUUUCUAAUCUAUUGAUCUCUUGUUCAAUUCUUCUUCGAAUGGCUUCAAAUGGAACUGAAAAUAGCUUGGAGAAGAUUAAAAAGCAGCUCGCAUCAAGUUCUGGCAAGAAUCUAUUGCAAGGUCCAAUCCUUAAACGUUCUGAAACGUUGAGGAAAUGGAAUGAGAGAUGGAUGAUCUUAGACCCAACCACUGGAAAAAUGGAAUACAACCUAUAGGACUCGAAGAAAUGAGACGGUUGUCAAGGGGUCUAUUAUGUUUGAUGCAAAUAGCACAGUUACAUUAUCCCCUGUGAAUUUCCAGUGAGAUAAGUUCCCUUCUCUACAUGCUGCAGUGGACUGCC